This 315-nucleotide ribosomal RNA is filed under the name uncultured bacterium. RNAcentral's name for it is "bacterial SSU rRNA". It matches the Rfam family "Bacterial small subunit ribosomal RNA", at positions 29 to 351 of the family's 1533-position model. The record is from RNAcentral.
AAUGAACGCUGGCGGCGUGCUUAACACAUGCAAGUCGAACGAGAAAGUUCUUCGGAACGAGUACAGUGGCGAACGGGUGAGAAACGCGUGAGAAUCUGCCCUUUAGUGAAGGAUACCACCGAGAAAUCGGUGUUAAUACUGCAUACGUCCCUUCGGGGAGAAAGGUGGCCUCUUGCUACCGCUAAAGGAUGAGCUCGCGUAUUAUUAGCUAGUUGGUGAGGUAAUGGCUCACCAAGGCUAUGAUGAUUAGCCGACCUGAGAGGGUGAUCGGCCACAUUGGGACUGAGAUACGGCCCAAACUCCUACGGGAGGCUG